UACGUAGGGUGCGAGCGUUGUCCGGAAUUAUUGGGCGUAAAGAGCUUGUAGGCGGUUUGUCGCGUCUGCUGUGAAAAUCCGGGGCUCAACCCCGGACUUGCAGUGGGUACGGGCAGACUAGAGUGUGGUAGGGGAGACUGGAAUUCCUAGUGUAGCGGUGAAAUGCGUAGAUAUUAGGAGGAACACCGGUGGCGAAGGCGGCUUACUGGACUAUAACUGACGCUGAGUCACGAAAGCAUGGGGAGCGAACAGGAUUAGAUACCCCCGUAGUCCCUGAG
RNAcentral lists this ribosomal RNA (278 nucleotides) under uncultured prokaryote. RNAcentral describes it as "partial 16S ribosomal RNA". It matches the Rfam family "Bacterial small subunit ribosomal RNA", at positions 524 to 801 of the family's 1533-position model. The record is from RNAcentral.